GACGAACGCUGGCGGCGUGCUUAACACAUGCAAGUCGAACGGAAAGGCCCUGCUUUUGUGGGGUGCUCGAGUGGCGAACGGGUGAGUAACACGUGAGUAACCUGCCCUUGACUUUGGGAUAACUUCAGGAAACUGGGGCUAAUACCGGAUAGGAGCUCCUGCUGCAUGGUGGGGGUUGGAAAGUUUCGGCGGUUGGGGAUGGACUCGCGGCUUAUCAGCUUGUUGGUGGGGUAGUGGCUUACCAAGGCUUUGACGGGUAGCCGGCCUGAGAGGGUGACCGGCCACAUUGGGACUGAGAUACGGCCCAGACUCCUACGGGAGGCAGCAGUGGGGAAUAUUGCACAAUGGGCGGAAGCCUGAUGCAGCAACGCCGCGUGCGGGAUGACGGCCUUCGGGUUGUAAACCGCUUUCGCCUGUGACGAAGCGUGAGUGACGGUAAUGGGUAAAGAAGCACCGGCUAACUACGUGCCAGCAGCCGCGGUGAUACGUAGGGUGCGAGCGUUGUCCGGAUUUAUUGGGCGUAAAGGGCUCGUAGGUGGUUGAUCGCGUCGGAAGUGUAAUCUUGGGGCUUAACCCUGAGCGUGCUUUCGAUACGGGUUGACUUGAGGAAGGUAGGGGAGAAUGGAAUUCCUGGUGGAGCGGUGGAAUGCGCAGAUAUCAGGAGGAACACCAGUGGCGAAGGCGGUUCUCUGGGCCUUUCCUGACGCUGAGGAGCGAAAGCGUGGGGAGCGAACAGGCCUAGAUACCCUGGUAGUCCACGCUGUAAACGGUGGGUACUAGGUGUGGGGUCCAUUCCACGGGUUCCGUGCCGUAGCUAACGCUUUAAGUACCCCGCCUGGGGAGUACGGCCGCAAGGCUAAAACUCAAAGGAAUUGACGGGGCCCCGCGCAAGCGGCGGAGCAUGCGGAUUAAUUCGAUGCAACGCGUAGAACCUUACCUGGGUUUGACAUGGAUCGGGAGUGCUCAGAGAUGGGUGUGCCUCUUUUGGGGUCGGUUCACAGGUGGUGCAUGGCUGUCGUCAGCUCGUGUCGUGAGAUGUUGGGUUAAGUCCCGCAACGAGCGCAACCCUUGUUCACUGUUGCCAGCACGUUAUGGUGGGGACUCAGUGGAGACCGCCGGGGUCAACUCGGAGGAAGGUGGGGAUGACGUCAAGUCAUCAUGCCCCUUAUGUCCAGGGCUUCACGCAUGCUACAAUGGCUGGUACAGAGAGUGGCGAGCCUGUGAGGAUGAGCGAAUCUCGGAAAGCCGGUCUCAGUUCGGAUUGGGGUCUGCAACUCGACCUCAUGAAGUCGGAGUCGCUAGUAAUCGCAGAUCAGCAACGCUGCGGUGAAUACGUUCCCGGG
Molecule: ribosomal RNA, 1343 nt
Filed under: uncultured bacterium
Lineage: Bacteria
Description: 16S ribosomal RNA
Rfam family: Bacterial small subunit ribosomal RNA
Source: RNAcentral